AUCUACAGUCAUACCACCCUGAGCACACCUGAUCUGGUCUGAUCUUGGAAGAUAAUCAGGGUUGGGCCUGGUGAGUACCUGCAUGGCAGACAAUGUGUAAGUCCGCAGUACUGGUGUAA
Molecule: ribosomal RNA, 119 nt
Filed under: Callithrix jacchus (white-tufted-ear marmoset)
Lineage: Eukaryota; Metazoa; Chordata; Mammalia; Primates; Cebidae
Source: RNAcentral